UGAGUGUUUCUGGCCAUAAGUUUGUGGGUUGUCCAAUGCCUUGUGGUGUUCAGAUCACAAGGAUGGAACACAUCAAUGUGCUUUCAAGCAAUGUUGAAUACCUAGCAUCAAGGGAUGCUACGAUCAUGGGAAGUCGGAAUGGUCAUGCUCCUCUUUUCCUUUGGUAUACUCUCAAUAGAAAAGGUUAUAAAGGAUUUCAAAAAGAUGUUCAGAAAUGCCUCAGAAAUGCUCACUACUUGAAAGACCGACUGCACGAGGCUGGGAUUAGUGCUAUGCUAAAUGAACUCAGCAGUACGGUUGUGUUUGAGCGGCCCCGGGAUGAGGAGUUUGUUCGUAGGUGGCAACUUGCUUGUGAAGGGAAUAUAGCACAUGUGGUGGUGAUGCCUAAUGUGACAAUCGAAAAACUGGAUUUCUUCUUGAAUGAAUUAGUUGAAAAACGGUCGACUUGGUAUCAAGGGAAUGUUCAACCUCCUUGUAUUGCAGCAGAGAUAGGGAAAGCGAAUUGCGUUUGUGCUCUGCACAAGUGAAAAAAAAUAUCAGUCUAUGAUUCAGGAAUUCCUCUAUUUUCAUGCAGCUUGUCAUUUGGUUUUAAUGAAAUAUAGAUUAGAUUCAUAAGUUUUUCGUUUUACAUUCUCAUUGUUAUGGUAAAUAGUAGUGCCUAUCGACAUGUUCAUAUGUUGACUAU
RNAcentral lists this long non-coding RNA (685 nucleotides) under Gossypium raimondii (Peruvian cotton). Its description in RNAcentral is "long non-coding RNA (GRAI_LNC001679)". Lineage: Eukaryota; Viridiplantae; Streptophyta; Magnoliopsida; Malvales; Malvaceae. The record is from RNAcentral.